GUGUGCAGACGUUGUUAAUAGAAUCCGGGGAGUGCUUGGCGGGAGAGGGGAUUUUCGGGCUGUCAGGGAGAUGAACUACAGGAGCAGUUCGAUUUCUUCAGCUGCUAAGGCUUCUGCCAGGGCAUUUGAUUUCGGAAGGACCCAUGUGGUUCGACCCAAGGGAAGGCAUUUGGCCACUGUCGUGUGGCUUCAUGGCCUAGGUGAUAAUGGAGCAAGAUUUUAGUUGAUACACAAGGAGAGCGCCAUUUCAGAGCUGAAGUUGGAACUAUCAGUCGUGCACACCAUUGCCAUUUGGUUUCUCUUGUAGGAUACUGUGUAUCAGAGAAUCAGAGAUUGCUCGUCUAUAAUUAUGUGCCCAAUAGAACUCUUUAUUACCAUCA
Zingiber officinale is the source of this 380-nucleotide long non-coding RNA. RefSeq lists it as uncharacterized. NCBI's taxonomy places the organism in Eukaryota, Viridiplantae, Streptophyta, Magnoliopsida, Zingiberales, Zingiberaceae. The transcript has 3 exons. The record is from RefSeq and is a predicted model, not a curated record.